UUCCAGACUCCUACGGGAGGCAGCAGUGAGGAAUAUUGGUCAAUGGGCGGAAGCCUGAACCAGCCAAGUCGCGUGAGGGAAGAAGGCCCUGCGGGUCGCAGACCUCUUUGGACGGGGAGCAAGGCCGCCGACGUGUCGGCGGAAGGAGAGUACCCGUAGAACAAGCAUCGGCUAACUCCGUGCCAGCAGCCGCGGUAAUACGGAGGAUGCGAGCGUUAUCCGGAUUUAUUGGGUUUAAAGGGUGCGCAGGCGGAAGCGCAAGUCAGCGGUAAAAUUGCGGGGCUCAACCUCGUCGAGCCGUUGAAACUGGGUGCCUUGAGUGGGCGAGAAGUACGCGGAAUGCGUGGUGUAGCGGUGAAAUGCAUAGAUAUCGCGCAGAACUCCGAUUGCGAAGGCAGCAUGCCGGCUCCACACUGACGCUGAGGCACGAAAGCGUGGGUAUCGAACAGGAUUAGAUACCCUCGUA
RNAcentral lists this ribosomal RNA (466 nucleotides) under uncultured bacterium. RNAcentral describes it as "bacterial SSU rRNA". It matches the Rfam family "Bacterial small subunit ribosomal RNA", at positions 329 to 792 of the family's 1533-position model. The record is from RNAcentral.